AUUGAACGCUGGCGGCAUGCCUUACACAUGCAAGUCGAACGGCAGCACGGGAGCAAUCCUGGUGGCGAGUGGCGAACGGGUGAGUAAAGUAUCGGAACGUGCCCAGUCGUGGGGGAUAACGUAGCGAAAGUUACGCUAAUACCGCAUACGAUCUAUGGAUGAAAGCGGGGGAUCGCAAGACCUCGCGCGAUUGGAGCGGCCGAUAUCAGAUUAGGUAGUUGGUGGGGUAAAGGCUCACCAAGCCGACGAUCUGUAGCUGGUCUGAGAGGACGACCAGCCACACUGGGACUGAGACACGGCCCAGACUCCUACGGGAGGCAGCAGUGGGGAAUUUUGGACAAUGGGCGCAAGCCUGAUCCAGCCAUGCCGCGUGCAGGAUGAAGGCCUUCGGGUUGUAAACUGCUUUUGUACGGAACGAAAAGGUUUGGCUUAAUACGUUGAACUCAUGACGGUACCGUAAGAAUAAGCACCGGCUAACUACGUGCCAGCCGCCGCCUAA
This 499-nucleotide ribosomal RNA is filed under the name uncultured bacterium. RNAcentral describes it as "partial 16S ribosomal RNA". It matches the Rfam family "Bacterial small subunit ribosomal RNA", at positions 30 to 522 of the family's 1533-position model. The record is from RNAcentral.